Long non-coding RNA from Papaver somniferum (opium poppy), 1255 nucleotides. RefSeq lists it as uncharacterized. NCBI's taxonomy places the organism in Eukaryota, Viridiplantae, Streptophyta, Magnoliopsida, Ranunculales, Papaveraceae. The transcript is spliced from 2 exons. The record is from RefSeq and is a predicted model, not a curated record.
GAUCGAGAAGAUUUACAUCUUGAUCUUCUUCUUUCUCUUUCUUCGUCUUCUUUCUUCUCUUUUUUUUCUUCUGCUGAGAGUCGGUAAGAAUCAAUCGAGAGAAUCAGUUGAGUAUUCUGUGUGUUUGAUGAAGGUAGAUGGUGUUGUUAAUGGUUUGGCGAUAAAAGAAGAAGAUGAUAAUUAUGUGAAUCAGAGACAAGGUAAGAAUUAGGGUUUUUCAGAAGACUGUGUAGAAGUUCGAUUAGAAGAUGAAAUUAAUGUUUUAAGAAGGGGUUGUUGUUGAAUCAAGUUUCUGAAGUUGUUUUGAUAAUGAACCGAAGAAGUUAGGGUUAGGGUUUCUUAAACAGUAACUCAGAGAAGUUUUAAAGAUGGAAUUGAUGUUCUACAAAAUGGGAUUUAAGAUGGGUAUUGAUCAAUUGAUUGAUUUUAUCUUAUGGAUGAAGAGUAAAUAGAGAUUGAAGACGGUUAGGUUCAUGUGUUCUUCCCCAAAUUGAAAUUAGGGUUUCAGUAGAAUUGAUCUGGUAAUUUGGAAAUUCAUAAGAUGUUAAAGCUUGGAUGUUGUGGUAUAUUGAACUACAUGGAACAUGAAGUGGAUGUUACUGCUGAGGUUGUAUUGAUUGAAGUUCUUUUGAAUGAUCCUUUGUGGAACUGAGGAGGUAAUCUGGUGUUGGAGGAAAGCGGUGAACUGAGUACGAAUUAUAAUGGAGUGUACAAGAAUCUGAGAUUGAUUGUAGCAUGUGCGUCAGUAUGCAGUAGUGGCUUUGCAGGCCUGUAGGUUGUGUUACUACAAUCUGGUGAAGUGGUGGUGGUAUGUUGAUGGAUACAAGGAAUGGGAGAAGCUGAGUAUAUCUGAAUUGUACUGCAGAUUUAUGGGGUUGAUGUGAACUGCAGGGCAUGGGAUUGGUGUCAAUGCUGUGAGAGUGUAGUUUUAGGGUAAAAAGGGGAUCAUGGUGGUGACUCAUAAAAGAAGUGGAACUGCAGAUGUAAUCAGAUGAUGGUAAUAGAACUGUGAUUGCAGAUUAGGAUUGUGUUGUGAAAAUGAUUUGUAAAAUUGUUGUAUUUACAGUAAUUUAUGGAGUGAAUGGUUUCUGAAGUUUCAGUUCAUGAAGAAUGGUGAAUUCAGAGUUGUCGAUUGUAUUUGCUGUGAAAGCUUGAUGCUACUGCAAUUGCAGGUAGAUAUAGUCUUUGUUUGUAAAUAGAAUUUAAAGUUUGUUUACUUUAUUUUGAAUUGAUGUUGAAAUAUAAAAUUGGUAGA